CCUACGGGAGGCAGCAGUGGGGGAUAUUGCACAAUGGGGGAAACGCUGAUGCAGCGACGCCGCGUGAGGGAAGACGGUCCUCUGGAUUGUAAACCACUGUCCCCAGGGACGAAGAUGACGGUACCUGGGGAGGAAGCGCCGGCUAACUACGUGCCAGCAGCCGAGGUAAUACGUAGGGAGCGAGCGUAGUCCGGAUUUACUGGGUGUAAAGGGAGCGUAGGCGGGACUGCAAGUUGGGUGUCAAAUCUACCGGCUCAACCGGUAGCCGCACUCGAAACUGCAGUUCUUGAGUGAAGGAGAGGCAUGCGGAAUGCCUGGUGUAGCGGUGAAAUGCGUAGAUAUUAGGCGGAACACCAGUGGCGAAGGCGGCCUGCUGGGCUUUUACUGACGCUGAGGCUCGAAAGUGUGGGGAGCAAACAGGAUUAGAUACCCGUGUAGUC
Molecule: ribosomal RNA, 440 nt
Filed under: uncultured bacterium
Lineage: Bacteria
Description: partial 16S ribosomal RNA
Rfam family: Bacterial small subunit ribosomal RNA
Source: RNAcentral